Long non-coding RNA from Equus caballus (horse), 1560 nucleotides. Lineage: Eukaryota; Metazoa; Chordata; Mammalia; Perissodactyla; Equidae. The record is from Ensembl.
CCUGCAUUACACUUCAUCCAAUCAGAUGCUGCGUGCACCAACACCUCGUUUGAAUACAGGGAAUAUAAAUAGACACCACUCUGUUACCAACCAGCUUUCUCUUUCAUUCCAGUGUACUGGGAAACUAUGUCCAUCGUGGCUGAGCGUUCUCCUAAAUCUAUCUUUGCCAAGAAGGACAUCAGGAAAGCCACUUCCAAAACAGAAAAGGGGAAGAUGUAAAAGAGACGCCCUGAGACAAGUUACGCCACCUAUGUUUACAAGAUCAUGCCUUCCUCCUGGCCCGCCCACCAAGCGCUCCAUCAUCUCGUCCAGUGAGAUCCAGGACUCUGUGUGCACGCUGCUGCUGGGGGAGAGUGACAAGCACACCGUGCCCGAGGCCAGCAAGGCCGUCAUCAGUUGGUUUCGAGACCAGAUGUGGAGAAGGGGUCUCUUAAAGACUCAAGCAUUUUUGGAGCAAGACCAUGGGAAUAGAUUGGGAGCCAGCAAGACACAGAAAGGGGAGAAGAGCUGUGGAUCUGUUUUUAGACGCACCCCUGAGGGCAGAGUGAAAGAUGUGCUCUGGAAGGGCCGCUUGCUACAAGAGCUUUGAAGGGACAGGGCCUGGGCUGUGCAGCCCGUUUAUCCUUCCAACCUCACUAAUCAGCUAAGGGUCCAGGUGUGGACGAGCAAACGGAGCGUUUCCGGGGGAAGGAUGUGCCUGCGCUUCCUAGUUGCCGUAGAAACGUGACGUCAUCGUAGCGACCGUGACGACUUUUUAAUAGAGACGGAGGGGCUCUGGCAAGAGCAGGUCUCACCUUCAGGUAUCCGAGACGCGGCAGAGGCUGUGGUUCCCCUGGAGGGGGCUGAGCCGCCCCGGGGUGUGGGGGAGACAAAAGGACCCACAUCCAAGUCGCCUCUUUCCCGCUUUGGGACUCGGAGUCCCGGCGGGCUCGUGGGUAAAGGCACUGGGUUCCCGCCGGUCCUAGUGAGUGUGGCGUCCUGCCCCAAGGGUGUCCUCAAGAUACUUUGCUUCUAAGGGCCGGGGCGCGGGAGGUGACACAGGGAAUGGCUCUCUCAGCCCCAGCUCCCCCCUCUGUCAAACGGGAUGAGAUUGCUUAACCCCUAGGAUUGCUGUGAGCGUUCAGUGACAACACCUCUUCAUGCCAGUGGCCAAGCUCCUAUCAGGCGUCUGAAGGAGGCAGCUUCUGAGGAUCUGUGCCCUGCUGGCUGCUGAACCAUCUGCUCCACAUUGAAGGGCAGCCAUCCUCAGGAGACCCCAGCACUUCACAUCCCUGCUGGGAUAUGACUUCUGACUCGAUGGACCGUCAGAGGAGGGCGUGGACUCUGAGCCUCAGAAGCAGGAGCUGACAGAGAAGAACCAAGUGUGCUGGCGCGUGUGCAGACAGGUUCCUGGAGCAAGAGUGAGGAGAUCAGGGUCCCAUCACUGGGACACUUUAGAAAACAUCUGGACCUAGUGACAAACAGGUGACUUGUGACCUUGGUAAGAGCAUGUUCAUUGCCGUCAUGGGCACAGAAGUGAUACUGCAGCGAGAUAAAGAGUCUGUGAGAAUGAAGAAUGUU